Molecule: long non-coding RNA, 1188 nt
Filed under: Capsicum annuum
Lineage: Eukaryota; Viridiplantae; Streptophyta; Magnoliopsida; Solanales; Solanaceae
Description: long non-coding RNA (CANN_LNC014429)
Source: RNAcentral
UCAGAUUCUGAAUAAAUCUUAAAAUACAUAUGUAAUCCUUUUAUUAAAUUUUUUUAAUUUAAAUAUAUCAAAAUUAAAAAGAUAAAUAAAUAUCUUGCUGACACGGCCAUGCUUGUUUAGUAUAUAUAUAAAAGCAGACAGGAGUCGGUUGUCCUAAACAACUUAAGCCAAAGCACAAUUUUUUCAUUUCACAUAUCACUCUAAGGGUAUUUUCGUCCUUCCACCGCAAUCUCUAAGGAUAUUUUUGUCCUUCCACAGCUAUCUCAACCACCGCAAAAAACUCUAUUCCUCGAAAAUUCAACCCCGGCAAAAGAAACCCCAGAAUCCAGAUGGAAAAAUUGAAGAAAAACAAGCACAAGAGGCCUGCCAGCUUAAGCGGAAGGGCAUUACUGUAAUUUCAAAAUUUCCCACAUUAAAAAACCUCCAUUUCAAAGGACAUUUUUGUCAUUUCACAAUAAUUUCAGGCGACCCUUUCCGAUGAACAACCGGAGUUAUUCAUUUUUGGCACUUCUCCGCCUCCGAUCUACAUAGCUUUCCGUAUAUAUUUCCCUUUCAAAUUUCUCCGACUUAGUUCUCCGUGAAAUUUGUGAACAAAAAUCCUUUUCGAUUUCCAGCAACAAGAUCAAGUAACUCUAAACCCAUUGCAUGCAACAUCAUUGCAACACAAAAAAUCAAAUAUAUACGCAAAAUUGAAUGAAAAAUUCGACAAUCGAAUAAAAAUGGACAAAAUAAGAGCCCCCCAAAAAAAAUUACAGAUAUCGAUUGUCGUUGUAGAACUUAAGAUAACUUGGAAGAAGAAGGUGAAAAACAGUGGAAGAAAGGAAAUAAAAAAGAAAAGACCGAGAAAUUGGAAAAGGCAUUGAAAAGGAAAGAGGAUUUUUAUUUUUAUAUUUGGGUCAGAUUUAGAAAGUGGUCUUCCUCAAUAUUUUUUCGUAUUACUAUUCUUUAUGGGUCUUGGGCCAGCCUCUUGUUUUUUUAUUUUUAUUUUUUAUUAUUAGUAAAAUGGCUGAAAAGCCACAAAAAGUUAUUUUUAAAAAAAAAAAAAAAAAAACAGAGGAGGUAUUGGAUACAAAAUGUUUUUGUGUAAUUUUUUUUUAAAAUUAAUAUGUGAGUUAGAUGUCCUCACGUCAACAUUUUGGAGACUUUAUAUUUUCUCCAUUUUAAUUUAUUUUAUUUUCUGUAUUUUUA